This is a long non-coding RNA of Oncorhynchus gorbuscha (pink salmon), 364 nucleotides long. RefSeq lists it as uncharacterized. NCBI's taxonomy places the organism in Eukaryota, Metazoa, Chordata, Actinopteri, Salmoniformes, Salmonidae. The record is from RefSeq and is a predicted model, not a curated record. The transcript is spliced from 3 exons.
UAGCAGGCCUGCUAGCUGUGUUCAGGUUGACAAGGACUACUGCUAAAGGGAAACUAGCAGGCCUGCUAGCUGUGUUCAGGUUGACAAGGACUACUGCUAAAGGGAAACUAGCAGGCCUGCUAGCUGUGUUCAGGUUGACAAGGACUACUGCUAAAGGGAAACUAGCAGGCCUGCUAGCUGUGUUCAGGUUGACAAGGACUACUGCUAAAGGGAAACUAGCAGGCCUGCUAGCUGUGUUCAGGUUGACAAGGACUACUGCUAAAGGGAAACUAGCAGGCCUGCUAGCUGUGUUCAGGUUGACAAGGACUACUGCUAAAGGGAAACUAGCAGGCCUGCUAGCUGUGUUCAGGUUGACAAGGACUAC